GUCUGUCAAAGCUUGUUGAAACUGUGGAGAUGGCUGUGGUGCACCAUGAAAUUUUUUUUUUCUUUUUACAAUUGCAAUGAUGGCAUCUAGAGUGCAUACUACACAAAAGUUACCAUCUCAGGUUCAGUUGACUGGCAAUCUGAAUUUUAUUUUUUAUUUUAUUAUUUAGAUGAAGUGCCCAAUUUAUGUCAGGACUUUUCCAUAGCUGAAUGGGAUUGUAUUGUUCUGCUAUCAACUAAGGGCUUAUUUGGCAUUGCUGUUGGAAUUGCUGUUUAGAAAAUCACUUUUUAAAUAUACU
RNAcentral lists this unclassified non-coding RNA (298 nucleotides) under Hevea brasiliensis (rubber tree). Lineage: Eukaryota; Viridiplantae; Streptophyta; Magnoliopsida; Malpighiales; Euphorbiaceae. The record is from RNAcentral.